UGGGGAAUUUUGGACAAUGGGGGCAACCCUGAUCCAGCCAUCCCGCGUGUGCGAUGAAGGCCUUCGGGUUGUAAAGCACUUUUGGCAGGGAAGAAACAGCCUGGGCUAAUAUCCCGGGCGACUGACGGCACCUGGAGAAGAAGCACCGGCCAACUACGUGCCAGCAGCCGCGGUAAUACGUAGGGUGCGAGCGUUGUCCGGAAUUACUGGGCGUAAAGAGCACGUAGGCGGUUUGUCGCGUCGUCUGUGAAAUUCUGCAACUCAAUUGCAGGCGUGCAGGCGAUACGGGCAGACUUGAGUACUACAGGGGAGACUGGAAUUCCUGGUGUAGCGGUGAAAUGCGCAGAUAUCAGGAGGAACACCGGUGGCGAAGGCGGGUCUCUGGGUAGUAACUGACGCUGAGGAGCGAAAGCGUGGGGAGCGAACA
Molecule: ribosomal RNA, 427 nt
Filed under: uncultured bacterium
Lineage: Bacteria
Description: bacterial SSU rRNA
Rfam family: Bacterial small subunit ribosomal RNA
Source: RNAcentral